RNAcentral lists this ribosomal RNA (503 nucleotides) under Thagria multipars. RNAcentral describes it as "partial large subunit ribosomal RNA". Lineage: Eukaryota; Metazoa; Arthropoda; Insecta; Hemiptera; Cicadellidae. The record is from RNAcentral.
UUCUUUUAGUAUUUUUUAAAUGUAUUUUCUGCCCUAUGAUUAAUUAAAUGGCUGCAGUAUUUUGACUGUGCAAAGGUAGCAUAAUAAUUAGUUUUUUAAUUGGGAACUUGCAUGAAUGGAUAGAUGAGAGAUUUUCUUUAUUUUGUAUAUUUUUAUAAUUUUAUUUUUGAGUAAAAAAGCUUAAUAAUUUUUCUGGGACGAAAAGACCCUAUAGAACUUUAAAUAAAAUUUUAGUUUAACAUCUUUAUUUUAAUUUUUAAUUAAUUUUUUAUUUUUAACUGGGGCGGUUUUUAAAUUUUAACUUUAUUUAUUUUUUUCAUUAUAUAUAUGAUAUUUUUGAUCCUAUAAAUUAGAUUACAAGUUAAGUUACCUUAGGGAUAACAGCGUAAUUUUUAUGGGGAGUUCUUAUUUAUAUAAAAGUUUGCGACCUCGAUGUUGAAUUAAGAUAAAUAUAUGGGGUAGGUUCUAUAUUUUUUGGUCUGUUCGACCAUUAUAUUCUUACA